Molecule: ribosomal RNA, 254 nt
Filed under: uncultured bacterium
Lineage: Bacteria
Description: partial 16S ribosomal RNA
Rfam family: Bacterial small subunit ribosomal RNA
Source: RNAcentral
UACGUAGGGACCAAGCGUUGUUCGGAUUUACUGGGCGUAAAGGGCGCGUAGGCGGCUUGACAAGUCACUUGUGAAAUCUCCGGGCUCAACCCGGAACGGUCAACUGAUACUGCGGGGCUAGAGUGCAGAAGGGGCAACUGGAAUUCUCGGUGUAGCGGUGAAAUGCGUAGAUAUCGAGAGGAACACCUGCGGCGAAGGCGGGUUGCUGGGCUGACACUGACGCUGACAGCGCGAAAGCUAGGGGAGCGAACGGG